UUCCCUGUGGCUCAGUUGGGAGAGCAUGGCACUUGCAACGCCAGUAUUGUGGGUUUGAUUCCCACAAGGGACC
Molecule: transfer RNA, 73 nt
Filed under: Salmo salar (Atlantic salmon)
Lineage: Eukaryota; Metazoa; Chordata; Actinopteri; Salmoniformes; Salmonidae
Rfam family: tRNA
About the family: Transfer RNA (tRNA) molecules are approximately 80 nucleotides in length.
Source: Rfam by way of RNAcentral